UUUCUUUUAGAAUCACACACAUCCUUUCUUAAUUGUAUUUACGACGAAUUACUCUAUAGUUUUCAUAGCCUGUCAUUCAUAGAUAGUUAACAGUAGUAUUAUAGACGAGUUAAAUAUCUCCCGAUCGCGUUAUUAUUAGCUUUGACAGAUCUCGGAGACCGCGGCGCGCCGCGACGUCCGCGGAGGGGUGGAGGGGGGCGCCUGCGCCGAGUGGAGGGGCAGCGCGAAAGAUACGCCGCGUAUUCGUCGCGCGACGCGCAAUGUGUCCCGCGCCAGCGUACGAAACGCGUCGGUGUCGCUGUCCCGCACGGUGUGACAAUCUUUUUUUUCUCACACACGCGCCACUUCCGCGGUGUAGUUUCGGUCGUUCCGCGACUCGACGCGACCGAUUACCUCGUUUGUUUUCCCAAGAUCCCCCCCAAAAAAAUUGGCGAUUCUUUUUCCAUUUUUUUCUUUUCGCCACGACUUAACCCCACGUCGUCUCCUCGCGCGACGAUGAUCCUCGCGAUCCGCGCGACGCGAUAACGCGAUCGAGGAAACGAUCUUUAGGAGUCCGCUCGACGUUUUCGUUUCUUCUCGAGGCCGACGUAAACGCGCGGCGAUCGAAUGCACCUCGUUGGAUGCUACCGGAGGCGGUCGAUCUGGAAGCCCGUGGUCACCGCGGUCCCGUGAGCAGGUGCCGCGGACAUAGCUAGCACCGGUGGCCGCGAUGGACGCGCGCGUGGUGGUCGGCGCCGCGCCGGCCGCGGAAGAGACGUCGGUAGCGGCGGCGGCGACGGCGGCGGCGACGCGAGGCGUCGCGACGCCCUCGCCGGUACCUUCCGCGCCGAGCACCGCUACCAGCAACGGCAACGGUGGAACGAGCGCGAACGUCGUCGCGACGCUCGCGUCCGCCUCGCAGAAUCCUGUCGUCGUUGUGGCCAACCCUCCUGGCAAUCAUCAACAGCCGGCCGGCGUGUCGGUCGCCGCCGUGCCCAGGAUACUCAGCAGAAAUGUCAACGGCACCUUGGUGCAGACAUCCGUGCCGCAGAAUGAGGCCGAGUUGCAGCUGUACCGAGUGAUGCAGCGCGCCUCGCUACUGGGAUAUUACGACACACUCCUCGAGAUGGGAGGCGAUGACGUGCAACAAUUGUGCGAUGCAGGCGAAGAAGAGUUUCUGGAGAUUAUGGCGCUGGUCGGCAUGGCGAGCAAGCCACUUCACGUCAGGAGGCUCCAGAAAGCUCUGCAGGAAUGGCUCACUAAUCCUUCAUUGUUUCAAACGCCAGUCGUGCCGACGAAUGCCGCUGCCAAAAGUCCCGUCGCCGUCACCGUCGGUUUCGCGUGUGCGAGCCCGCGGUCGCAGAUGCAGAGCCUGCCGACCAGUUUCACCGCAACUUCCCAGACUUCUCUGAUGUCCAUGCCCUAUGUAACGACGACGCCUCACGUGCCAUUGACGCCGUUGCCUUGCCGAAGUGCCAGUCCGGUCGUACCGGUCACCAGUGUGUCCGUGCCGACGCCUUCCACGACCUUUCGCCAGAGUCCGAGCCCAAACACCUCUUUACCUUACACGACUACGCACAGUCCAAAUGUGUUGCAGGUAGGAACGUGCGAAUCUUCGUGCGGCAGCGGCACGACGCCAAGCCCGAGUGGCGGUGGCGGAGGCGGAGGCGGCGGUGGAGGCGCACCUGCGAGCCCGACGCAGCCGACGCCAACCCUCCUGCAAUCGCAGGUGCAACGGCUCGCCGAAGCUGCGGAGAGGCUCGUCGCUACCAUAAGGCCCCUUGAUCCUAAACCCCACAACGUGAAGAAAAAACUCUGCAAGAACUUGGAGAUGGUAAUGACAAUGUCUGACAGUGACCCGCGCAAAAUGGAUGAAAUUCGAAAGUACGCGGCGAUUUACGGUAGAUUCGACUGCAAGAGAAAGCCGGAGAAACCGCUCACGUUGCACGAGGUAUCUGUGAACGAAGCGGCGGCGCAAAUUUGCAGAUUCGUGCCUGCCCUCCUCACCAGGAGAGACGAAUUGUUUCCUUUGGCGCGUCGUGUGGUCCGUGAUUCCGGCUACCAUUAUUCCAAAAGUCAAUACUUGUCAAUGUUGAAAUCACGCGAAAACGGGGAGGAGACCGAUAACGUUUCGAAACGCCGUAAGCUCGAGCUGGAGGGUGAGGGUGAGGACGCGACGCAGGAGGAGUUGGAUCUCCGUUGUUCCGGAACGGACAUUAAUAAUUCCAUCACGAGAAGACACAGGUCGUCGAGUUUGGAGGAAGAAGAAUAACAAUGGCAUAUUCAGUGCUAGCGUGGAGGAAAUUAGCGAUUCGGACAGUCAAUUCUCAUUUUCUAACGAGGAAUCUUCAUCUAUGCAUGAUACAAACGAGGCAGAGGCUGAAAACACCGAUAAAGAAGGCGACUUUAAUCUAAAGGUAAUAGCUUCACGCGGAGAUAACAUAAUUGCCGUGGCGAAUCCUGCAUUAAUGGAAUGCAGUCAUCCUGUAAAGGAGGAGCCCGCGGACGAGAAAUCCACACUGUGAUAUUACUUAGCGUUAUUUACUGCCGC
Molecule: unclassified non-coding RNA, 2530 nt
Filed under: Camponotus floridanus (Florida carpenter ant)
Lineage: Eukaryota; Metazoa; Arthropoda; Insecta; Hymenoptera; Formicidae
Description: nGFI-A-binding protein homolog, transcript variant X3
Source: RNAcentral